RNAcentral lists this ribosomal RNA (465 nucleotides) under uncultured bacterium. RNAcentral describes it as "partial 16S ribosomal RNA". It matches the Rfam family "Bacterial small subunit ribosomal RNA", at positions 28 to 507 of the family's 1533-position model. The record is from RNAcentral.
GACGAACGCUGGCGGCGUGCUUAACACAUGCGAGUCGAACGGAAAGGCCCUGCUUGCCGGGUACUCGAGUGGCGAACGGGUGAGUAACACGUGGGUGAUCUGCCCUGCACUUCGGGAUAAGCCUGGGAAACUGGGUCUAAUACCGGAUAGGAGCCAUUUUUAGUGUGAUGGUUGGAAAGUUUUUUCGGUGUAGGAUGAGCUCGCGGCCUAUCAGCUUGUUGGUGGGGUAAUGGCCUACCAAGGCGGCGACGGGUAGCCGGCCUGAGAGGGUGGACGGCCACAUUGGGACUGAGGUACGGCCCAGACUCCUACGGGAGGCAGCAGUGGGGAAUAUUGCACAAUGGGCGCAAGCCUGAUGCAGCGACGCCGCGUGGGGGAUGACGGCCUUCGGGUUGUAAACUCCUUUCGCUAGGGACGAAGCUUUUUGUGACGGUACCUAGAUAAGAAGCACCGGCUAACUACGUG